GAUGAAGAACGUAGCGAAAUGCGAUAAGUAAUGUGAAUUGCAGAAUUCAGUGAAUCAUCGAAUCUUUGAACGCACCUUGCGCCUUUUGGUAUUCCGAAAGGCACACCUGUUUGAGCGUCAUGAAUACCUCAAUCUCCAUCUUUUCUUCGGAUUGAUGGGUGACUCGGAUGUUGAGCCCUGCUGGUAUGCUAUAUCAGCUGGCUUUAAACUUAUUAGCCGGCUCUGUACUGGAUCGGUUUGACUCGACGUGAUAAUAUUAUCGUUGAGGAUGCAUGUCUCAUGCAGCCGGAAAGUAUCAAAGCAGCUUCUAGCUUGCCUUUAGUGCACUUUUACAUUUUAGACCUCAGAUCAGGUGGGACUACCCGCUGAACUUAAGCAUAUCAAUAAGCGGAGGA
This 395-nucleotide unclassified non-coding RNA is filed under the name soil metagenome. Its description in RNAcentral is "partial contains 5.8S ribosomal RNA, internal transcribed spacer 2, and large subunit ribosomal RNA". The stretch from base 1 to 120 matches the Rfam family "5.8S ribosomal RNA", at positions 35 to 154 of the family's 154-position model. The record is from RNAcentral.